GAUGAAGAACGCAGCGAAAUGCGAUACGUAAUGUGAAUUGCAGAAUUCAGUGAAUCAUCGAAUCUUUGAACGCAUAUUGCGCUCUCUGGUAUUCCGGAGAGCAUGCUUGUUUGAGUAUCAGUAAACACCUCAACUUCCAUAUCUUUUUUGAAAUGGGAGUUGGACUUGAGUGAUCCCAACGCUUUUCCUCACCGCAAAGUGGCGGGUUACUUGAAAUGCAGGUGCAGCUGGACUUUUCUCUGAGCUAUAAGCAUAUCUAUUUAGUCUGCCUAAAAAACAGAUUAUUACCUUUGCUGCAGCUAACAUAAAGGAGAUUAGUUCUUGUGCUGACUGAUGCAGGAUUCACAAAGACAGGCUUCGGCCGACUUUGUAAACUCGAUCUCAAAUCAAGUAAGACUACCCGCUGAACUUAAGCAUAUCAAUAAGCGGAGGA
RNAcentral lists this unclassified non-coding RNA (433 nucleotides) under soil metagenome. Its description in RNAcentral is "partial contains 5.8S ribosomal RNA, internal transcribed spacer 2, and large subunit ribosomal RNA". The stretch from base 1 to 120 matches the Rfam family "5.8S ribosomal RNA", at positions 35 to 154 of the family's 154-position model. The record is from RNAcentral.